Amphimedon queenslandica is the source of this 181-nucleotide long non-coding RNA. RefSeq lists it as uncharacterized. Lineage: Eukaryota; Metazoa; Porifera; Demospongiae; Haplosclerida; Niphatidae. The transcript is spliced from 3 exons. The record is from RefSeq and is a predicted model, not a curated record.
CCUCGUAGUUGCAGUUUACAGGAUACCCAAGUUCGUAAUUGGAAGGGUCACAAUUAUUAUUCUGGAGAUAGUCGUCAAGUUACUCAGAGUAAUAGCAGUCUGAAGCAAUAUGGCAAUCAAGCAGAUUCUUCUUGGGUUCCUCGUAGUCAUGCUUAUCAGAAUGCCCAAGGUCGUAAGUGGC